Molecule: ribosomal RNA, 253 nt
Filed under: uncultured bacterium
Lineage: Bacteria
Description: partial 16S ribosomal RNA
Rfam family: Bacterial small subunit ribosomal RNA
Source: RNAcentral
GACGAACCGAGCAAGCGUUAUUCGGAAUUACUGGGCUUAAAGAGUCCGUAGGCGGCGCGUUAGGUGGGGUGUGAAAUCCCUCGGCCCAACCGAGGAAUGGCGCUCCAAACCGGCGUGCUUGAGGAAGGUAGAGGUGAGCGGAACUGAUGGUGGAGCGGUGAAAUGCGUUGAUAUCAUCAGGAACACCGGAGGCGAAGGCGGCUCACUGGGCCUUUUCUGACGCUGAGGGACGAAAGCCAGGGUAGCGAACGGG